RNAcentral lists this long non-coding RNA (5482 nucleotides) under Malus domestica (apple). RNAcentral's name for it is "long non-coding RNA (MDOM_LNC011901)". The record is from RNAcentral. Lineage: Eukaryota; Viridiplantae; Streptophyta; Magnoliopsida; Rosales; Rosaceae.
AAAGAGAAUUAUAGAGAAAUACACUGUUUGUUAUAUUGCUUUUACUUUCUUACAGAAUGAAUACAAAAGGUUCCUAUUUAUACACUUUUCACUACUUGUACAGCAAGUAACAAAUCCUUAACAACCUAACAACCAUAUCACUUAAUCUCUUGACAGAUGGCAUCUUCUUGGCCAUUGGAUUGAUCUUCCUUAUCUAUAUCUUUACAUCCCCCCCCCCAAUCACAUGGGUGGAGGAACCAAGCAUGAGAUUGGCACAAUGAUGACGAAACAAAGAUAUAGACAGACCCUUGGUAAGGAUAUCAGCAAAUUGUUCCUUGGAAGACACAUGAUGAACAGCCAAGUCUCCUCGAACUACUCUUUCGCGAACAAAAUGAUAAUCAAUCUCAAUAUGUUUCACCCGAGAGUGAAAAAUUGGAUUAGAAGACAGUGCUAUGGCAGAAAUAUUAUCACAAUACAAUGUUGGAUGAGCAUAUAAAGGAACCUGUAAAUCACAUAGAAGCUGUCGGAUCCAAGCCAUUUCAGCAGCAGUUAUGGCUAAAGCUCGAUAUUCUGCCUCAGUAGAUGACCGAGAAACAGUGUGUUGUUUCUUGGAUGCCCAAGAAAUCAGACUUGUACCAAGGUAGACAAUAUAACCAGAAGUCGAACGACGGUCAUUUGGAUCCCCAGCCCAAUCAGCAUCACUAUAUGCUUGUAAAAACAAUGAUCCAGGUUUAAAAUGUAUGCCAUAGGUCAUUGUACCACUGAGAUAUCUAAGAAUCCGUUUGACUGCAACUACAUGAGAAUCCAUAGGACGAUGCAUAAACUGACAACAUUGAUUUACAGCAAAGGCAAUGUCGGGACUGGUGAAUGUCAGAUAUUGCAAUGCACCAACGACACUACGAUACUGUUCAGGAUUAUGAUAAGGCUGCCCUUCUUUCUUAAUAAGCCUGUGAGAAGGAAGACAGGGAGUAUCACAGGCUUUGGCAUUUUGUAUAUCAACCUUGUGCAAGAGAUCCUUGAUAUAUUUAGAUUGGGAGACAAAUAAACCAUCGGACUGAUACUGUAUUUGUAAGCCAAGAAAAUAAUUAAGCUGUCCCAAGUCCUUUAUAUCAAAUUGUUGAGUAAGAGCCAAGAUCAUCGUGGAAAUAUCACUUGAACUACUACCAGUGAUAAUGAUAUCAUCAACAUAUAGUAAUAACACAACAAUGCUAAGCUCAAUACGUUUCACAAAGAGAGAAGGAUCUGCAAGAGAAGGUUGAAAACCCAAACCUGGAAGAAAGCUUGUAAACUUCUCAUUCCAAGCGCGAGGAGCAUGUUUUAGGCCGUAUAGUGAUUUCUUGAGCUUGCAAACAUAGUGAGAUGGAUGAUCAGUACUGAAAAACCCAAGAGGUUGAGCCAUAUAUACCUCUUCAUGUAAGUCACCAUGCAAAAACACAUUUUUGACAUCUAAUUGGCCCAAAUCCCAAUGAAACUGAGCAGUAAGAGCCAGAAUUAAUCGGACGGUAGUUGGUUUGACCACGGGACUGAAUGUCUCACUAUAGUCAAUCCCCUAUUUUUGACUAUAACCCUUGGCAACUAAUCGUGCCUUGUACCUGGAAAUGGACCCAUCAGGAUGCUUUUUAAGGCGAUAAACCCACUUGCAGCCAACAAAAUUUUUGCCACUUGGAAGGGGAACAAGAUCCCAGGUUUGUUACAAAUGUAGAGCUGUGAUCUCAUCUAGCAUAGCUGCUUGCCAUUCUGGGAUUUUAGUAGCAGCUUUAUAAUUGGUAGGCUCAACAAUAGAAAUCUCGGAUGAAGGAACAGUUGCAGAGUAUGCUUUCCGUUUAACAAUCCCACUUGUAGACCGAGUUUGCAUGGGAUGAAGAUUGACUGAAGGAACUGGAAGCACAACAGUAAGAUUUUCAGAUUGAAAAUCAGGAUCAUCAGGGAUUGGGGACUGUGUAGCUGUGAUAGAGGCUGAAGAGAAUAAGGUGGAAGCUUGAGGAUAAGGUAGUGGGUGCAGGUAUAGUAGUGAACAACUCUGAAGCUGAAGAGGGUACAUUCAAAGAUUCUGAAGCACUAGGAGGUUCAAUGAAUGACUCUGAAGCUCGAGGUGGAAAGGAUGUAGAUGAUGCAGGUGAUGAUGAUGAAUGACUGGUGUGUGAUAGUGAUGGUGGACUAGAAAUCACUGUGUUAUUUUUUGUGAGAAGUGGAAUAAGUGAGGAAGAAGUACAGUUUGAAACACACUCCAAAGGAUGAGAUUUAGAUGCCAAAGUUGUGUAAGGAAAAGUAUAUUCAUCAAACAAGACAUGCCUAGACACAUACAAUUUUCCUGUACUUGGUUGAAAACAAAUGUAGCCCUUGUACUGCCCUGCAUAACCCAGAAACACACAUUGGGUUGAAGUUUAGUAGUAUUGUAAGGUCGCAGUAAAGGAAAACAACUACAGCCAAAAGUUUUCAAAUGGGUUAAGAUUGGAGAAGUACCAAACAGACAAAAAUAGGGAGAUUUCAUAGACAAAGUAUGACAUGGCAUUCUGUUUAUCAAAUAAACUGCCGUAGCACAAGCAUGGAACCAAAACUGGGAAGGUAAUUUAGAGGUAUACAUAAGAGUGAGGGCAGUUUCAACAAUGUGCCUAUGCUUUCUCUUAGCAAGGCCAUUUUGUUCAGGUGUAUAUGGGCAGGAUUUUUGAUGUAUUAUGCCUUUGUCAAGUAAAAACUGUUUAAACUUGUUACUGGAAAAUUCACCACCACCAUCACUUUGAAAGAUUUUAAGUGCACUAGAAAACUGAGUAGACAGAAAAGCAUGAAACUGCACAAACGUUUGAAACACCACACUUUUAUUCAUUAAUGGAAAUAUCUAGGUAAACCUGGUACAUUCAUCAACAAAAGUAACAUAAAAUCGGAAGCCUUCUAUUGACAAUGUAGGAGAUGACCCCCAAACAUCACUAUGGAUGACUUCUAAAGGUUGUACAGUUUUAUUUGCAGGAAAAGGGAAAAGCAAUUUAGUUAUUUUGCCCUCUAAACAAGAGAUACACACAUGCCUAGAUUGGUCUAAUGCAAAAGGAACCUGAGAUUGGUCCAACAUUUUUGCAGUAACAAGAUUGGAAGGGUGACCUAAUCUAUUGUGCCAAAGAGAUGUGUUGACUUGACGACCAAUGAGACGGUGUUGUUGUUUAGGGAAGUGAGAUGCUUGAUAUGCUUGCUUGAGUAUGAAUGGAGGUAUAUGAAAAGGAAUCGGGUACAAUCCAGCUCUACACAGCCUCUAAAGAAGGAUUCUCCCUGUGAUAUUGUCCUGUAUCCAGAAACAAAACUCAUCACAUAUAAACCGACAGUGAUUAUCUUUACAGAGCUGAUAUACGGACAAUAGAUGUUGUGACAGUUUUGGAACAUGUAAAAUUUCUUUCAACUGAAAAGCAUAUUUAGGAGCUCUUAAAGUUGAAGAACCAGUAUGAGAUAUUUCCAAACCUGAGCCAUUAGCUGUGGUGAUAGUAUCAGUCCCUGUGAAAGGAGUGGCAAGAUUAAGGUUUGCCAAUUCAGAGGUCAUAUGAGAUGUAGCUCCAGUGUCAGCCACCCAAAACUGUUCUUGUGGGGCAGACGGUGGAUAAAUGACAUUCAUGGCAGUGAGAUUUGGUGAUGGUGACCUCCCUUGAUAAGAAAAGUUAGCCCUGUGGUAGCAUUGGAGUACAGAGUGUCCAAAUUUCCAGCAAAUUUGGCACUGGAUAGGAGAAGACAAAACUGGUGUAGAAGAGUGCCUUUGAAAACAAUCAGAGGCGAUGUGACCUCUUUUGGUACAAAUCUGACAAGUAGGCACAUCAUUGCCAUGCUCAGGACAAGUAGAAACAUAAGGUCUUGCAGGGCCAAGAAUCCCAGGACCAGUAUUGUAAUUGCUACCAGAAAAUCGUGGAUUCCCAAAAUGAUUUCGACCCCUAGAUCAGCCUCUGAAGUUAGAGCCUCGAAAUCCUCCAGAAUUGUAAGUAUUGCCACCAUUAGUAUAGCCUCCAGAAUUAUAGUUGGGACCACCAUUAUGUGAAUAAGAAGAACUUCAAGUUUGAUAUGACGACUGAGUGCCAUUUGAAGGAGAAGAAUCACCGGCAAGUAGUAAUCCUUUCCCUUUAGAGUCAUGGCCUUGAGCUAGCAUCGCAGGAACAAAAGAGCUAGACAGUGAAGAGUUUUCAAGAACAGAUUCCUCAGCAAGUAACUGAGCUCGAAAGUCUUUUAGAGAAAUAACAUUGUCUCUCCCUCGAAUCACAGUUCUAAAGGUAUUGUACUCAGAAGGUAACCCUUUGAAAGCAAUGAUAACAAUAUCGUCAUCAUCAAAUGAUACUCCAGCAGCAGCCAAAUGAUCACGGGCAUCCUUUACCCUUUGUAGAUACUGAGAAACUAACCCAGUUCCCUUCUUAAUAUUUUGAAGCUCAGUUUUCAAUUGAAAUAUACUAGAUUUGGUGACCGUGGAAAACCUAUCACGAAGACUCAUCCACAUUUCACGUGCAUUGGUACAACCAAUUAUACAAGACAUGCCAGUAACAGAUAAAGUUGCAAUGAUCAACAGCAUUAAAGCACAAUCAUGCAUCUUCCAUAUCUGAUAUGCUUCAGUUUCAACACCUUCAAGAUUAGGAUUAUCAACGAACCAAGUAGGACACUGACGAGAACCAUCCACAAAGCCAAGAAUCCCAUGACUUUCAAGCAGCAAUUGCAUCUGAUAAUGCCAGACUAGGUAAUUUGUAUCAUCCAACUUCACAGUCACAGAGGUGGACACAGUAGGAAUUAAAUUCGUAAUUGGAGAUUGCACAAUUUGUAGCUGUGCAGCAGUCACCAUAUUUUCACAGAUCGUAUAAGCAAACAGAAUUUCUUGCAAGAACUGAAAGUUUGAAAACCGUUCUUGAACAAUCUUGAGACGAAAAUCAACUUCAAUUAUACAAAGAAGAGUAUCACAGAGAAAAUUUCACAGACACAUUUCAUCAAACACCUGAUGUGCAAUAAUCAAGCUUCGAAAUCAAGAGGAGAAGGCACAUAUACUAUAGCACUCCAGAAGAAGAAUUGCAUACCAGAAAUUCACACAAAUGAAUGCAAAUUCGGAAAUCUCAGAGAUGAAUGCGGAAGCAGAAAGAAGAUCAGGAUCGGAGAGACGCCACCACCGGCGAUGAUACCAUGUUGAAUUAACUAUCUUGAGUUUGAAGAUUAUCAAUGUUGUUUAAAGAGGGAAAGAUUAUAGACACAGAAUGUAGAAAGAGAGAGAUCAAAGAGAAUUAGAGAGAAAUACAUUGUUUGUUAUAUUGCUUUUACUUUCUUACAGAAUGAAUACAAAAGGUUCCUAUUUAUACACUUUUCACUACUUAUACAGCAAGUAACAAAUCCUUAACAACCUAACAACCAUAUCACUUAAUCUCUUGACAGAUGGCAUCUUCUUGGCCAUUAUCUUCUUGACCAUUGGAUUGAUCUUCCUUAUCUAUAUCUUUACAAAAACUAUAGAAAGCCGCUCGAUGCGCCAUCGCGCUUAACAACCACCUGGUGAGAACGAAGAAAA